GAUGAACGCUGGCGGCGUGCCUAAUACAUGCAAGUCGAGCGAACGGACGAGAAGCUUGCUUCUCUGAUGUUAGCGGCGGACGGGUGAGUAACACGUGGAUAACCUACCUAUAAGACUGGGAUAACUUCGGAAAACCGGAGCUAAUACCGGAUAAUAUUUUGAACCGCAUGGUUCAAAAGUGAAAGACGGUCUUGCUGUCACUUAUAGAUGGAUCCGCGCUGCAUUAGCUAGUUGGUAAGGUAACGGCUUACCAAGGCAACGAUGCAUAGCCGACCUGAGAGGGUGAUCGGCCACACUGGAACUGAGACAUGGUCCAGACUCCUACGGGAGGCAGCAGUAGGGAAUCUUCCGCAAUGGGCGAAAGCCUGACGGAGCAACGCCGCGUGAGUGAUGAAGGUCUUCGGAUCGUAAAACUCUGUUAUUAGGGAAGAACAUAUGUGUAAGUAACUGUGCACAUCUUGACGGUACCUAAUCAGAAAGCCACGGCUAACUACGUG
RNAcentral lists this ribosomal RNA (497 nucleotides) under uncultured bacterium. RNAcentral describes it as "partial 16S ribosomal RNA". It matches the Rfam family "Bacterial small subunit ribosomal RNA", at positions 28 to 507 of the family's 1533-position model. The record is from RNAcentral.